This 806-nucleotide ribosomal RNA is filed under the name Psychrobacter arcticus. Its description in RNAcentral is "bacterial SSU rRNA". It matches the Rfam family "Bacterial small subunit ribosomal RNA", at positions 144 to 947 of the family's 1533-position model. The record is from RNAcentral. Lineage: Bacteria; Pseudomonadati; Pseudomonadota; Gammaproteobacteria; Moraxellales; Moraxellaceae.
UAGCACGGGGAAACUCGUAUUAAUACCGCAUACGACCUACGGGAGAAAGGGGGCAGUUUACUGCUCUCGCUAUUAGAUGAGCCUAAGUCGGAUUAGCUAGAUGGUGGGGUAAAGGCCUACCAUGGCGACGAUCUGUAGCUGGUCUGAGAGGAUGAUCAGCCACACCGGGACUGAGACACGGCCCGGACUCCUACGGGAGGCAGCAGUGGGGAAUAUUGGACAAUGGGGGAAACCCUGAUCCAGCCAUGCCGCGUGUGUGAAGAAGGCCUUUUGGUUGUAAAGCACUUUAAGCAGUGAAGAAGACUCCAUGGUUAAUACCCAUGGACGAUGACAUUAGCUGCAGAAUAAGCACCGGCUAACUCUGUGCCAGCAGCCGCGGUAAUACAGAGGGUGCAAGCGUUAAUCGGAAUUACUGGGCGUAAAGGGAGCGUAGGUGGCUCGAUAAGUCAGAUGUGAAAUCCCCGGGCUCAACCUGGGAACUGCAUCUGAUACUGUUGAGCUAGAGUAUGUGAGAGGAAGGUAGAAUUCCAGGUGUAGCGGUGAAAUGCGUAGAGAUCUGGAGGAAUACCGAUGGCGAAGGCAGCCUUCUGGCAUAAUACUGACACUGAGGCUCGAAAGCGUGGGUAGCAAACAGGAUUAGAUACCCUGGUAGUCCACGCCGUAAACGAUGUCUACUAGUCGUUGGGUCCCUUGAGGACUUAGUGACGCAGCUAACGCAAUAAGUAGACCGCCUGGGGAGUACGGCCGCAAGGUUAAAACUCAAAUGAAUUGACGGGGGCCCGCACAAGCGGUGGAGCAUGUGGUUU